Molecule: ribosomal RNA, 212 nt
Filed under: Escherichia coli IS29
Lineage: Bacteria; Pseudomonadati; Pseudomonadota; Gammaproteobacteria; Enterobacterales; Enterobacteriaceae
Description: Large Subunit Ribosomal RNA; lsuRNA; LSU rRNA
Rfam family: Bacterial large subunit ribosomal RNA
Source: RNAcentral
UGCCCGGUAGCUAAAUGCGGAAGAGAUAAGUGCUGAAAGCAUCUAAGCACGAAACUUGCCCCGAGAUGAGUUCUCCCUGACUCCUUGAGAGUCCUGAAGGAACGUUGAAGACGACGACGUUGAUAGGCCGGGUGUGUAAGCGCAGCGAUGCGUUGAGCUAACCGGUACUAAUGAACCGUGAGGCUUAACCUUACAACGCCGAAGAUGUUUUG